AGAGUUUGAUUCUGGCUCAGGACGAACGCUGGCGGCGUGCUUAACACAUGCAAGUCGAACGAGAGGACAAGAGAAGCUUGCUUCUUUUGGAAUCGAGUGGCAAACGGGUGAGUAACACGUAAACAACCUGCCUUCAGGAUGGGGACAACAGACGGAAACGACUGCUAAUACCGAAUACGCUUGGGAGACCGCAUGAUCUACCAAGGAAAGGGUGGCCUCUACCUGUAAGCUAUCGCCUGAAGAGGGGUUUGCGUCUGAUUAGGCAGUUGGUGAGGUAACGGCCCACCAAACCUACGAUCAGUAGCCGGUCUGAGAGGAUGAACGGCCACACUGGAACUGAGACACGGUCCAG
This 352-nucleotide ribosomal RNA is filed under the name uncultured bacterium. RNAcentral's name for it is "bacterial SSU rRNA". It matches the Rfam family "Bacterial small subunit ribosomal RNA", at positions 8 to 334 of the family's 1533-position model. The record is from RNAcentral.